RNAcentral lists this ribosomal RNA (1051 nucleotides) under Candidatus Portiera aleyrodidarum (primary endosymbiont of Bemisia tabaci). RNAcentral's name for it is "bacterial SSU rRNA". It matches the Rfam family "Bacterial small subunit ribosomal RNA", at positions 83 to 1120 of the family's 1533-position model. The record is from RNAcentral. Lineage: Bacteria; Pseudomonadati; Pseudomonadota; Gammaproteobacteria; Johnevansiales (SeqCode); Johnevansiaceae (SeqCode).
ACAGGUUGGCAAGCGGCGCACGGGUGAGUAAUACAUGUAAAUAUACCUUAAAGUGGGGAAUAACGUACGGAAACGUACGCUAAUACCGCAUAAUUAUUACGAGAUAAAGCAGGGGCUUGAUAAAAAAAAAUCAACCUUGCGCUUUUAGAAAAUUACAUGCCGGAUUAGCUAGUUGGUAGAGUAAAAGCCUACCAAGGUAACGAUCCGUAGCUGGUCUGAGAGGAUGAUCAGCCACACUGGGACUGAGAAAAGGCCCAGACUCCUACGGGAGGCAGCAGUGGGGAAUAUUGGACAAUGGGGGGAACCCUGAUCCAGUCAUGCCGCGUGUGUGAAGAAGGCCUUUGGGUUGUAAAGCACUUUCAGCGAAGAAGAAAAGUUAUAAAAUAAAAAGUUAUAACUAUGACGGUACUCGCAGAAGAAGCACCGGCUAACUCCGUGCCAGCAGCCGCGGUAAGACGGAGGGUGCAAGCGUUAAUCAGAAUUACUGGGCGUAAAGGGCAUGUAGGUGGUUUGUUAAGCUUUAUGUGAAAGCCCUAUGCUUAACAUAGGAACGGAAUAAAGAACUGACAAACUAGAGUGCAGAAGAGGAAGGUAGAAUUCCCGGUGUAGCGGUGAAAUGCGUAGAUAUCUGGAGGAAUACCAGUUGCGAAGGCGACCUUCUGGGCUGACACUGACACUGAGAUGCGAAAGCGUGGGGAGCAAACAGGAUUAGAUACCCUGGUAGUCCACGCUGUAAACGAUAUCAACUAGCCGUUGGAUUCUUAAAGAAUUUUGUGGCGUAGCUAACGCGAUAAGUUGAUCGCCUGGGGAGUACGGUCGCAAGGCUAAAACUCAAAUGAAUUGACGGGGGCCCGCACAAGCGGUGGAGCAUGUGGUUUAAUUCGAUGCAACGCGCAAAACCUUACCUACUCUUGACAUCCAAAGUACUUUCCAGAGAUGGAAGGGUGCCUUAGGGAACUUUGAGACAGGUGCUGCAUGGCUGUCGUCAGCUCGUGUUGUGAAAUGUUGGGUUAAGUCCCGUAACGAGCGCAACCCUUGUCCUUAGUUGCCA